Molecule: unclassified non-coding RNA, 211 nt
Filed under: plant metagenome
Description: partial contains small subunit ribosomal RNA, internal transcribed spacer 1, and 5.8S ribosomal RNA
Source: RNAcentral
UUUCCGUAGGUGAACCUGCGGAAGGAUCAUUCAUAAUAAAGUGUUUUAUGGCACUUUUUAAAAAUCCAUAUCCACCUUGUGUGCAAUGUUAGAUCUCGUCAAUCUUGGCGAGAUUUUUAUACAUCAACUCAUUCUUUAACUAAUUUGUCUGAAAAAUAUUAUGAAUACUAAAUACAAAAUACAACUUUCAACAACGGAUCUCUUGGCUCUC